CCUACGGGAGGCAGCAGUAGGGAAUAUUGGACAAUGGGCGAAAGCCUGAUCCAGCCAUGCCGCGUGAGUGACGAAGGCCUUCGGGUUGUAAAGCUCUUUUGGCGGGGACGAUAAUGACGGUACCCGCAGAAUAAGCCCCGGCUAACUUCGUGCCAGCAGCCGCGGUAAUACGAAGGGGGCUAGCGUUGUUCGGAAUCACUGGGCGUAAAGCGCACGUAGGCGGACUUUCAAGUCAGGGGUGAAAUCCCGGAGCUCAACUUCGGAACUGCCUUUGAUACUGUUGGUCUCGAGUCCGGAAGAGGUGGGUGGAAUUCCUAGUGUAGAGGUGAAAUUCGUAGAUAUUAGGAAGAACACCGGUGGCGAAGGCGGCCCACUGGUCCGGUACUGACGCUGAGGUGCGAAAGCGUGGGGAGCAAACAGGAUUAGAUACCCGAGUAGUC
RNAcentral lists this ribosomal RNA (440 nucleotides) under uncultured bacterium. RNAcentral's name for it is "bacterial SSU rRNA". It matches the Rfam family "Bacterial small subunit ribosomal RNA", at positions 338 to 795 of the family's 1533-position model. The record is from RNAcentral.